Molecule: ribosomal RNA, 447 nt
Filed under: uncultured bacterium
Lineage: Bacteria
Description: partial 16S ribosomal RNA
Rfam family: Bacterial small subunit ribosomal RNA
Source: RNAcentral
UCCAGACUCCUACGGGAGGCAGCAGUGGGGAAUAUUGCACAAUGGGGGAAACCCUGAUGCAGCGACACCGCGUGAGCGAUGAAGUAUUUCGGUAUGUAAAGCUCUAUCAGCAGGGAAGAAAAUGACGGUACCUGACUAAGAAGCCCCGGCUAACUACGUGCCAGCAGCCGCGGUAAUACGUAGGGGGCAAGCGGUAUCCGGAUUUACUGGGUGUAAAGGGGGCGCAGACGGCAGCGCAAGCCAGGAGUGAAAGCCCGGGGCCCAACCCCGGGACUGCUCUUGGAACUGGGCGGCUGGAGUGCAGGAGGGGCAGGCGGAAUUCCUGGUGUAGCGGUGAAAUGCGUAGAUAUUAGGAGGAACACCAGUGGCGAAGGCGGCUUACUGGACGGCAACUGACGCUGAGGCUCGAAAGCGUGGGGAGCAAACAGGAUUAGAUACCCUAGUAAC